GACGAACGCUGGCGGCGUGCUUAACACAUGCAAGUCGAACGGAAAGGCCCCUUUGGGGGUCCUCGAGUGGCGCACGGGUGAGUAACACGUGAGUAACCUGCCCUUGACUUCGGGAUAACUUCAGGAAACUGGGGCUAAUACCGGAUAGGAAUCCUUGCUGCAUGGUGGGGGUUGGAAAGCUUCGGCGGUUUUGGAUGGACUCGCGGCCUAUCAGCUUGUUGGUGGGGUAGUGGCUUACCAAGGCUUUGACGGGUAGGCGGCCUGAGAGGGGGACCGGCCACAUUGGGGCUGAGAUACGGGCCAGACUCCUACGGGAGGCAGCGAGGGGGAAUAUUGCACAAAGGGCGGGAGCCUGAUGCAGCAACGCCGGGGGCGGGAUGACGGGCUUCGGGUUGUAAACCGCUUUCAGCAGGGGCGAAGCUUGUGGUGACGGUACCUGCAGAAGAAGCACCGGCUAACUACGUG
Molecule: ribosomal RNA, 465 nt
Filed under: uncultured bacterium
Lineage: Bacteria
Description: partial 16S ribosomal RNA
Rfam family: Bacterial small subunit ribosomal RNA
Source: RNAcentral